GCUCACAAUGACCCUGAUCUGGCAAAGCUCUCAUCCUGCCCCGACUCUGCCAUGGGCAACAGGCUCCUCUGCUGGGCUGCCCUGUGCCUCCUGGGGGCAGAUCACACAGGUGCUGGAGUUUCCCAGUUCCCCAGUAACAAGGUCACAGAGAAGGGAAAGGAUGUAGCGCUCAGGUGUGAUCCAAUUUCAGGUCAUGCUGUCCUUUACUGGUACCGACAGAACUUGGGGCAGGGCCUAGAGUUUCUAAUUUACUUCCAAGGCACGGGUGCAGUAGAUGACUCAGGGCUGCGCAGUGAUCGGUUCUCUGCAACAAGGCCUGAAGGAUCCGUCUCUACUCUGAAGAUCCGACACACAGAGCAGGGGGACUCAGCCACGUACUUCUGUGCCAGCAGCUUAACCACAGCAUGACACAAUCGCCUCUUUCCUGCUCACAAACCUCCUCCUCUCUCUCCUUGCUUCCUUGUGAUACUAUUUUGCAUCCUCAUCUCACAACGCUCCUCUGCCUCUUCCAGAAUCAUUGCUUGCAUGUCUGCUGC
Mandrillus leucophaeus (drill) is the source of this 536-nucleotide non-coding RNA. The record is from the annotation of a RefSeq genome assembly. Lineage: Eukaryota; Metazoa; Chordata; Mammalia; Primates; Cercopithecidae.